CGGGAAACUGUGGAUAAUACCGGAUAUAUGGAGAUGCCUGGAAUGGUACUCCACUUAAAGCUCCGGCGCCUAAGGAUGGAUCUGCGGCAGAUUAGGUCGUUGGUGGGGUAAUGGCCCACCAAGCCUAUAAUCUGUACGGGUUGUGAGAGCAAGAGCCCGGAGAUGGAACCUGAGACAAGGUUCCAGGCCCUACGGGGCGCAGCAGUCGCGAAACCUCCGCAAUGCGCGCAAUCGCGACGGGGGGACCCCAAGUGCCACUCGUAACGGGGUGGCUUUUCUUAAGUGUAAAAAGCUCUUGGAAUAAGGGCUGGGCAAGACCGGUGCCAGCCGCCGAGGUAACA
RNAcentral lists this ribosomal RNA (341 nucleotides) under uncultured archaeon. Its description in RNAcentral is "partial 16S ribosomal RNA". It matches the Rfam family "Archaeal small subunit ribosomal RNA", at positions 133 to 475 of the family's 1478-position model. The record is from RNAcentral.